CGAGUGAAGCGGCAAAAGCUCAAAUUUGAAAUCUAGCACCUUCGGUGUUCGAGUUGUAAUUUGAAGAUGGUAACCUUGGGUUUGGCUCUUGUCUAUGUUCCUUGGAACAGGACGUCAUAGAGGGUGAGAAUCCCGUCUGAUGAGAUGCCCAUUCCUAUGUAAGGUGCUAUCGAAGAGUCGAGUUGUUUGGGAAUGCAGCUCUAAGUGGGUGGUAAAUUCCAUCUAAAGCUAAAUAUUGGCGAGAGACCGAUAGCGAACAAGUACAGUGAUGGAAAGAUGAAAAGAACUUUGAAAAGAGAGUGAAAAAGUACGUGAAAUUGUUGAAAGGGAAGGGCAUUAGAUCAGACUUGGUGUUUUACGAUUAUCUUCUCUUCUUGAGUUGUGCACUCGUAUUUCACUGGGCCAGCAUCGAUUCGGAUGGCAAGAUAAUGGCAGUUGAAUGUGGCUUCACUUCGGUGGAGUGUUAUAGCUUCUGCUGAUAUUGCCUGUCUGGAUCGAGGGCUGCGUCUUUUGACUAGGAUGCUGGCGUAAUGAUCUA
This 538-nucleotide ribosomal RNA is filed under the name Hansenula anomala. RNAcentral's name for it is "eukaryotic LSU rRNA". It matches the Rfam family "Eukaryotic large subunit ribosomal RNA", at positions 90 to 641 of the family's 3401-position model. Lineage: Eukaryota; Fungi; Ascomycota; Saccharomycetes; Phaffomycetales; Wickerhamomycetaceae. The record is from RNAcentral.